RNAcentral lists this small nuclear RNA (326 nucleotides) under Erinaceus europaeus (western European hedgehog). RNAcentral describes it as "7SK RNA". It matches the Rfam family "7SK RNA". From Rfam's summary of the family: 7SK was discovered as an abundant small nuclear RNA in the mid-70s but a possible function has only recently been suggested. Lineage: Eukaryota; Metazoa; Chordata; Mammalia; Eulipotyphla; Erinaceidae. The record is from Rfam by way of RNAcentral.
GGAUAUGAGGGUGAUCUGGUGCAGCAUCUGUCACCCCAUUGAUCGCCAGGGUUGAUUCGGCUGGUCUGGCUGGCUAGGCAGGUGUCCCUUUCCUCCCUCACUGCUCCAUGUGCGUCCCUCCUGAAGGUUCACACUCGGUCUAAGAGGACGGCCUUCCCCAAAUAGAGAUGGACUGGUCUUCGGACGAGUAGCUGCACUCCCCUGCUAGAACCUCCAAACAAGCUCUCAAGAGGCAAUCUAUAGGUGUCAUCAAUUUCAUUGCAUGAAUGUCAGACUGUAUACAAAGAUUACCUCUCUACCAUGAGUGUUAAAAACAGGUGAUAGGU